Long non-coding RNA from Macaca mulatta (Rhesus monkey), 1609 nucleotides. NCBI's taxonomy places the organism in Eukaryota, Metazoa, Chordata, Mammalia, Primates, Cercopithecidae. The record is from Ensembl.
CGGGGCGGCGGGCGGGACGGUGUGCACCUGCGCGGUGUGUUUCCCGGCCGGGGCCCCGCGCCAGGUGCAGCUCCUUGAUCCGAGCCGGAUCCUGAGCCGGGAACACGGGCUGAAGCGGCGGCGGCGGCCCCGCCCCGGGGCUCCAUUGUUGAGGCUGCGGCGGCUCUGUCGGCUGCUCAGCUGCGCUCCAGUCGGCCCAGGCGCCGCGGCGAGGAGCUAGCGCUGCGAGGCGGCGGCUUGAGAUUUCCUUUCCAGUGGACGGGCUUAGUGUCUCAUCCGGCAGUCCUGUUUCCUGGUGAUCUGGGCCAAGUGUCUCAUCCGGCUGUCCUGUUUCCUGGUGAUCUGGGCUUAGUGUCUCAUCCGGCAGUCCUGUUUCCUGGUGAUCUGGGCUUAGUGUCUUAUCCGGCAGCCCUGUUUCCUGGUGAUCUGGGCUGAGUGGCUCCAUGAGAAGUUGCACCCAUCUUCUCCAGUAGUGCGUCUUUUCACAGCAAGCAAAACAUUUUCACCAUGUUUCUAGCGGGACAGGCACUAGCUCUUUUCUGGACAUCAGGAGACCUGGCUUUGUUCUGGUUCAAGCAACAGCUGGUGAGUUACCAAAGACAAGUCGCAUCUGGCCCCUGGUCCUUUGCUUUAUAAGUAGAAUCACAGUCCGAGUGGGCAUCACUGCCCUGGUCUCUAUGCGGUGCUGAGUGUUGUGGGGAUGAUGGCUAAGUGUCAGGAUGCAUUUCCACCACUAGGGGAUUAUAGGCCAGCCAAAGACACAGGAGGAAAGCUAACAGCCCUGGGCAGGUACACAGAACCAGAGGAGUUUGAAAGGGUGGUUCCAAGCUCCUUGGUGUGAUUGAUGUGAUCACAAUAAACAUUUUAUCUCUAAGUCUUGGGUCAUUGGACCAACAGAAGAGAGAGCUGGUGUUGAGUUGUAGUGAGAGGUGCGUGGUUUGUGAGCCUGCUGAGCCUGGCUGGGACUCAAUUCCAUUGAGUCCCAUUCCAUUUUACCUUCUGUUUCCACCUUUUUCGUGCUCCUGCUUGUUUCUCCAGAAAAAAAAUGCAAUAAAUUCCUUUCAAAAACUUUACAAAAGCCAUAGAUGCUUAUUGAAAAUAGUUCAAAUGAUUUGGAAGACAGAAAGAUAGUGAGUGUUUUUCUCCUGUGUGUUUGGAUGAAUGUGUCUUUGGGGUAGUCACUAUUAACACUGGGUGUAUUUCCUUCCAGAUCUUUUCCAGUGUACCUACAAAUAUACAUGUACACAUAGUAAAAAACAAAAUAGUACCUGAUAGACAUUGAGUUCCCCUACUCCCACUCCGCAGUCUACAUGGACAUCCUUUCAGGGUGAUACGAUGAGACCUGAUCGACUCCUUUUGUUCGCUGGAGUGGCAGGUAAUAAUAGCUACAGAUAACUCACCUUCAGUGGGCAUUUACCAUGUGACAGGGUCUGUGCUCCAGGCAGGCUACAUGAAGUGGGUCUUAAGGCUUUUUACAACAAUGCUAUGGGUGAACACAGUAAUUGUUAACAUUUUGCAAAUGAUAGAAUUGCAGUAGAGAGAAGCAAAGCUGCUUGCUCAAACUCAUGGCACGAUUCUUGAGAGAGAGAGAACACUUUUAAAACAAUUG